RNAcentral lists this ribosomal RNA (448 nucleotides) under Bacillus thaonhiensis. RNAcentral describes it as "bacterial SSU rRNA". It matches the Rfam family "Bacterial small subunit ribosomal RNA", at positions 66 to 496 of the family's 1533-position model. Lineage: Bacteria; Bacillati; Bacillota; Bacilli; Caryophanales; Bacillaceae. The record is from RNAcentral.
GCGGACAGAUGGGAGCUUGCUCCCUGAAGUCAGCGGCGGACGGGUGAGUAACACGUGGGCAACCUGCCUGUAAGACUGGGAUAACUUCGGGAAACCGGAGCUAAUACCGGAUAACACCGAGGACCUCAUGGUCCUUGGUUGAAAGAUGGCUUCGGCUAUCACUUACAGAUGGGCCCGCGGCGCAUUAGCUAGUUGGUGAGGUAACGGCUCACCAAGGCGACGAUGCGUAGCCGACCUGAGAGGGUGAUCGGCCACACUGGGACUGAGACACGGCCCAGACUCCUACGGGAGGCAGCAGUAGGGAAUCUUCCGCAAUGGACGAAAGUCUGACGGAGCAACGCCGCGUGAGCGAUGAAGGCCUUCGGGUCGUAAAGCUCUGUUGUUAGGGAAGAACAAGUACCGUUCGAAUAGGGCGGUACCUUGACGGUACCUAACCAGAAAGCCACGG